This 348-nucleotide ribosomal RNA is filed under the name bacterium enrichment culture clone ALO1_GLFRUDD03HAQAY. Its description in RNAcentral is "bacterial SSU rRNA". It matches the Rfam family "Bacterial small subunit ribosomal RNA", at positions 9 to 355 of the family's 1533-position model. The record is from RNAcentral.
GAGUUUGAUCAUGGCUCAGAUUGAACGCUGGCGGCAUGCCUUACACAUGCAAGUCGAACGGCAGCACGGGAGCUUGCUCCUGGUGGCGAGUGGCGAACGGGUGAGUAAUGCAUCGGAACGUAUCCUGGAGUGGGGGAUAACGUAGCGAAAGUUACGCUAAUACCGCAUAUUCUGUGAGCAGGAAAGCGGGGGACCUUCGGGCCUCGCGCUCUUGGAGCGGCCGAUGUCGGAUUAGCUAGUUGGUGAGGUAAAGGCUCACCAAGGCGACGAUCCGUAGCAGGUCUGAGAGGAUGAUCUGCCACACUGGAACUGAGACACGGUCCAGACUCCUACGGGAGGCGAGCAGGU